Non-coding RNA from Acanthosepion pharaonis, 97 nucleotides. NCBI's taxonomy places the organism in Eukaryota, Metazoa, Mollusca, Cephalopoda, Sepiida, Sepiidae. The record is from the annotation of a GenBank genome assembly.
AAAUCCACUAGUUCUCGUACGAUCACCGAAGCUAAGCAACGUCGAGCCUGUUCAAUAACUAGAUGGGUGACCACCUGAGAAUACCAAGUGCUGUAAG